GUAGGUGGCAAGCGUUGUCCGGAUUUACUGGGUGUAAAGGGCGUGCAGCCGGAGAGACAAGUCAGAUGUGAAAUCCACAGGCUCAACCUGUGAACUGCAUUUGAAACUGUUUCCCUUGAGUAUCGGAGAGGUCAUCGGAAUUCCUAGUGUAGCGGUGAAAUGCGUAGAUAUUAGGAAGAACACCAGUGGCGAAGGCGGAUGACUGGACGACAACUGACGGUGAGGCGCGAAAGCGUGGGGAGCAA
Molecule: ribosomal RNA, 245 nt
Filed under: uncultured bacterium
Lineage: Bacteria
Description: partial 16S ribosomal RNA
Rfam family: Bacterial small subunit ribosomal RNA
Source: RNAcentral